UCGGGAAUUUUGUCCAAUGGGGGAAACCCUGAGACAGCAACGCCGCGUGAGGGAUGAAGGCCUUCGGGUCGUAAACCUCUGUCAGGAGGGAAGAAAGCUUCAGUGCAAAUAGUUCUGAAGUCUGACGGUACCUCCAAAGGAAGGACCGGCUAACUCCGUGCCAGCAGCCGCGGUAAUACGGAGGGUCCAAGCGUUGUUCGGAAUCAUUGGGCGUAAAGCGGGUGCAGGCGGUGGAGUAAGUCGGAUGUGAAAUCCCGGGGCCCAACCCCGGAACUGCAUUCGAUACUGCUUCACUAGAGUCCCGGAGAGGAAGGCGGAAUUCCCGGUGUAGAGGUGAAAUUCGUAGAUAUCGGGAGGAACACCAGUGGCGAAGGCGGCCUUCUGGACGGUGACUGACGCUCAGACCCGAAAGCGUGGGGAGCAAACAGGAUUAGAUACCCCCGUAGUCC
RNAcentral lists this ribosomal RNA (449 nucleotides) under uncultured prokaryote. Its description in RNAcentral is "bacterial SSU rRNA". It matches the Rfam family "Bacterial small subunit ribosomal RNA", at positions 355 to 796 of the family's 1533-position model. The record is from RNAcentral.